GAUGAACGCUGGCGGCGUGCCUAAUACAUGCAAGUCGAGCGAACAGACGAGGAGCUUGCUCCUCUGACGUUAGCGGCGGACGGGUGAGUAACACGUGGAUAACCUACCUAUAAGACUGGGAUAACUUCGGGAAACCGGAGCUAAUACCGGAUAAUAUAUUGAACCGCAUGGUUCAAUAGUGAAAGACGGUUUUGCUGUCACUUAUAGAUGGAUCCGCGCCGCAUUAGCUAGUUGGUAAGGUAACGGCUUACCAAGGCGACGAUGCGUAGCCGACCUGAGAGGGUGAUCGGCCACCCUGGAACUGAGACAGGGUCCAGACUCCUACGGGAGGCAGCAGUAGGGAAUCUUCCGCAAUGGGCGAAAGCCUGACGGAGCAACGCCGCGUGAGUGAUGAAGGUCUUCGGAUCGUAAAACUCUGUUAUUAGGGAAGAACAAAUGUGUAAGUAACUAUGCACGUCUUGACGGUACCUAAUCAGAAAGCCACGGCUAACUACGUG
RNAcentral lists this ribosomal RNA (497 nucleotides) under uncultured bacterium. RNAcentral describes it as "partial 16S ribosomal RNA". It matches the Rfam family "Bacterial small subunit ribosomal RNA", at positions 28 to 507 of the family's 1533-position model. The record is from RNAcentral.